This 335-nucleotide ribosomal RNA is filed under the name uncultured bacterium. RNAcentral describes it as "bacterial SSU rRNA". It matches the Rfam family "Bacterial small subunit ribosomal RNA", at positions 28 to 363 of the family's 1533-position model. The record is from RNAcentral.
GACGAACGCUGGCGGCGUGCUUAACACAUGCAAGUCGAGCGGUAAGGCCCUUUCGGGGGUACACGAGCGGCGAACGGGUGAGUAACACGUGGGUGACCUGCCCUUAGCUCUGGGAUAAGCCUGGGAAACUGGGUCUAAUACCGGAUAUGACUCCAUGACGCAUGUUGUGGGGUGGAAAGCCUUGUGCGGCUAGGGAUGGGCCCGCGGCCUAUCAGCUUGUUGGUGGGGUGAUGGCCUACCAAGGCGACGACGGUAGCCGGCCUGAGAGGGCCGACCGGCCACACUGGGGACGGAGACACGGCCCAGACUCCUACGGGAGGCAGCAGUGGGGAAUC